Molecule: ribosomal RNA, 419 nt
Filed under: uncultured bacterium
Lineage: Bacteria
Description: partial 16S ribosomal RNA
Rfam family: Bacterial small subunit ribosomal RNA
Source: RNAcentral
AAUCUUCCGCAAUGGACGAAAGUCUGACGGAGCAACGCCGCGUGAGUGAUGAAGGCUUUCGGGUCGUAAAACUCUGUUGUCAGGGAAGAACAUCCGGGAUAACCUCCCGGUCUGACGGUACCUGAUCAGAAAGCCCCGGCUAACUACGUGCCAGCAGCCGCGGUAAUACGUAGGGGGCAAGCGUUGUCCGGAAUUAUUGGGCGUAAAGCGCGCGCAGGCGGUUUCUUAAGUCUGGUGUGAAAGCCCGCAGCUCAACUGCGGAGGGCCACUGGAAACUGGGAAGCUUGAGUGUAGGAGAGGAGAGCGGAAUUCCACGUGUAGCGGUGAAAUGCGUAGAUAUGUGGAGGAACACCCGUGGCGAAAGCGGCUCUCUGGCCUAUAACUGACGCUGAGGCGCGAAAGCGUGGGGAGCGAACAGG